Long non-coding RNA from Ictalurus punctatus (channel catfish), 8524 nucleotides. The record is from Ensembl. NCBI's taxonomy places the organism in Eukaryota, Metazoa, Chordata, Actinopteri, Siluriformes, Ictaluridae.
UACUGCUUCUACAACUCCUCAGCUCAUGCGCGCGCCUCCAGUGUCGCUAGAAAGCGCACGCGCCGCCCACACACUGAACACUCAGGAAAUCACUCAACGAGACACUUUGGUUUUUAAACAGAAUUCUUUAUUUACAACAGUAAUUUAUUAUUAUUUCCAAACAUCAAACAGCAUCCGCGAAGCCGCGUUAGUUUGCCAACUUGCAUAACCUCUUUAAAGUUUUGCAUAAAACGCUCACACACUAAAUAUCAGAAAUACCGAGGCGCGUGAACAGAUGAGCUCUCAAUGUGCACGGACACAAAAAAAAAAAAAAAAAAAAAAAAAAACAAUAAUAAUAAUAAUAAUAAUAAUAAUAAUAAUAAUAAUACAUUUCAUAACGCGCAACACUGUCGGCUUUACUGCAGAAGGUCCAUAAAUUACAUAGGCUAUUGCUUCGAUUUCCCGUUGCAUUAUCAUAAUCAUCAUCAUCAUAAUCAUCAUCAUUAUGACUGAAUGGAUGAAAUCAGAACUGUACAAAUAAUAAUAAACCCACAGCUGAUCACAAAAAACAAAAAAACAAAAAUGGAUGAGAGAGAGAGAGAGAGAGAGAGAGAGAGAGAGAGAGAGAGAGAGAGAGAGACUAGUCACUAGAGUGCUUUCUGUGCUGCUGGGGUGGAACCCUUAUCUUUUGUACCUUUAAUAUGGAUCUUUUACCUGGAUCUAUCCAUCAAAGGGUAUAUAGUGUACACUUAAAGGUACACUCUCAAGGUAAAAGAUACCACCCCAGCGACAAGGAAAGGCACAGUGAGUAAAGUGAUUGGGAACGGUGGUGAGCUCAUAUUGUGACUGACUGUACAGAUGUAACACAAAGCUCUUCUUAUGCAACAUUAAGGUCUAAGGCAACAUAUAGCGUUUAGCAUCUUAGCUUCCUGCAGUUAGCACUAUGCUAUUGGCUGACUACAGAGCACAAUGACACUCACAACAGAGAAACUACAGGUAUCGAUGUAAAGUGGCUCAUAAAAACGCUUUAGAAAACCCCACAGCGCCUCCAGCUCAUGGCUUAUACCCAUUUGAAAUGGCGACUAUCUUUGGAUUCGAGAAGUGGCUACUCCCAACCAAGUGUCCCUCCAGGACAACAGCGCUGGACUUCCAAACAGAGUGAUGUCCAAAUGGGAUUCGAAAGUGUCAACCAUAAAGGAGUAGUGUGUGUAAAAGGAAUGGAAAAGAGAGACCUCUGUUGAGAAAAUAAAAUAGUAAAUGGACGACUUAUGCGCAACUUUAACGACGACCAGAGAUCCGCACUGGUACUGACAUAUUGCUCAAACUUUCACGUUAAACAGAUUCAUGGGACUCCCUUUCCCUGAGAAGGAUGCCUAAAACCAUGUCGAAAUCAAAGGACCUUGUAAGACACCUGUCUUUAUGGUGCAUUUGAAAGGGACAGGCUUUAUCUCCCCAAAACCACUGCUUACACCCAAAUGCAAUGUAGAGUACCAGGGGAUACUCUGAAGGCUCUAUUUUACAAAUAUGGUGCUAAAUAAAUAUCACAAAAUAUUGUAUUACUGAUUAUUGGCACAUGAAGACUGGCGGGUGUGUCUUUGAGCCCAUAAUAUGAAAGAUAUCGAAUCGAAAGGACAUUUCUGAUUAGCACCAGAUCUUCAAAAGUAGUCAAAAAGCGUUUCGGGUUAGUCCAUGCUAGCUAGCUGGCUGGCAUAUCAGUGAAUGCAUGUUAGCUAGUUGACUAGCAUAUCAAAGUAUAUUAUAAACAUUUAACUGUGUGGCUAGCAUGUACAGUGAUUAUUAUAAACAAUAAUGAAUAUGACUUCAAAUCCUAUCAGGUUAUCUCAGCUAACACUUUUCCUCUGAUUGACUUCCAUAUAUGGAAAUUCCUAUCAGCUAUUCCUAAUAGCUUUAAACACACCAACUCAGAGAUGCUCUUAUUUCCAUAUAUGGACUGAGUCACCCACAUUUGCAUCCAUGGCUUUAAGACACACCCACUCUCUUAUUUCCAUAUACUGAUAUAAUGAUCUGCAGACCCUGUUGGUAAGAAUAUAGCCACCCUGAAGUCCAGCGCUGUCCCACCAACACCGGCUUAUCACUGAGGAACAUACGGAUUUAAACAUUAUUAGUAGUAUUUUUUUUUUCUCCCCCGAAAAUAUAAACCGCAAUAAAAAACGUCCAUCCGUAAUACUGGGUCCAAAAACUGGGAACGCAAAAUUUGUACAAAAUUACAAAACGAACAAAGCAACGUUUACUAAGUUAUUGCUCGUCUUUUUGGAACACGACAGACAAAAGCAACACGUCAGUGCCGAGUUUAUGGCUGUGUUGGGUUUUUAAUUUUAAAAGGCUGAGAAGCAAAGCAGUUAGCUGUACACCGUACACACGGCGAGCUCACACAUACACACACAGUCUAAAGUAACCCGCUUCAUCUGCUUCAGUACCAUAGGAAGGGCCAGGCGAUAUAACAAUGUGAUAAGCAGUAAUGCUUUCAUGACACUGACUCCACAGUUGCUCAUGUCAGUCAGUGGAUGUCUAUAAAAUCUAUCUUUUUUUUCUCUCGAUCCUGGUUUUGAGCAGUCAAAAAAAAAAUCAGCCAGAUUUAGAAAAUGUUUUUCUUUAAAAAGCAUUGCUGUUUUUCACAUACAUUAUAUUAGCAAACCACAAUUUGUCAUAUAUUGUGAAAGUGUAAGUAUCAUGAUAUGAUGUCUUGCCCAUAUCGCCCAGCCCUAAGCUUUACAAAAAAUAAAAUUAGAAAUAAAAAAAAAAAAAUCACACGCACGUGAAAACAUUCUAGAAGCAGUUAAGACCAGGCUGAAGGGGAAAACGGAAGAGCUGAAAAUCCAAAAUAAAUAUAUAUAUUUUUUUAUAUAUAUAUUUUUUAUUAUUGGUAUGUACAAUCUAUCAGCUAAGCACACACACACACAAAAAAAAAAAUCAAUGAUUUGCUCUAAUCUGAAACUACUGGACCAAAAUCCAAACUUUCUUAAUUAUAAAUAUUAAGUGAUACAGAUAAAGAAGCAAAUGCGAAGUUCACUGCAUCACUCCAGGAUUUCUUCUCAUCGCUAGCUCAUUAUAGAUAUCUACAUUUAAAAAAAUCUAUACAUGAGAAUAGAAUAAAAUUUAUAGCAAUUUGUAUAGCAAAAAACAAAACAAAAAAAAAAACAAAAAAAAAGGAAAUGUACAUAAUGUCAUCACUACCUCAAACGCAAUCAAUCAGCCAAGACACGUUUCAUCUCGUAUAUUCACUUCUUUAGUUUCACACUGGACCUCUGGGGGUUAAUGAUGCUAUCAAGUUAUAAAAGUCCAAAUCAUUCAGAAUCUGUUCUGUAAACAUGUGCGUCAAACUACAUCCAGUUCUUAAUUAAUGCAAAAUAUAACCGAGUUUUCAUUAAAAAAAUUUUCUUAUAUGUAACAUUCAUAAACAUUCCUACAACGUUGCUGCAACCUUUUUUUAGUUGUAGGGGAUGUUAACCCAAACACUCUUAAUGCGUUUCGGGAACAGAGUGAAACGUUCCGAUAACGUUACAAGAAACGAUUUUAAGAUUGCAAUAAUGCAAUCAUUUUGUAAUCCUACAGCAUACCAUUCUUAAAACCUGUAGAAUAGCCUACUGAAUGUUCCGUUAAUGUCGGCAUAUUAUCCGUUAGCUAGAUGAUAUGGAUAUAAAUUUUGAAAAUAAAUACAGACCAUCACGUACUUUCACACAAAAUCGUUUAGUCGAGUUAAAAAUCUUCACAGAGUUAUUAAUCUGUGUUUAUGGAAAAUAUUUUCGGCGAGACAAACUGUCCUUACUUGUUAUCUACAUUAGUCUUGUAACUCCGGGGGCAAAGCUAAACAAGUAAACAAACAAGUAAACAAACAAAAAAACAUGUCUUGGCUGAUGGGACUAUAUUUGGGAGUAUAAGCAGGGGGGGGGACUGUGUACAUUUUAUUCCUGGCUGAACUGUUCCUUUGACACACCGGGCAGAAUAAUAUCAAAUUUCGUGAAUCGUUAUUCUGCCCGCAAACCAUUUAGAUCUGUGCAGAGUUUUAAUCUUUAACAUUACUCUCACUUUAGAGAGAGAGAGAGAAAAAAAAGAUGAAAAAGGCAAAAAUGGCUAAACGUUGAGCGCAGCCAUGGUGUUUGUGUGGGGACUGUGGGAACAGUAGGGGAAUACGAGAGUGUGUGUGGAUUUGCUUCACUGAGAGAGAGAGAGAGAGAGAGAGAGAGAGAGAGAGAGAGAGAGCGAGAGAAUACAUUCACAGGAUCCUGAUGCCACCGUUUAUAGGAGAGUCACGCUAAGUCACACUACGGUGAAUGCGGUUUUAUACAUAUACAACAAAUGGACUUUGCCUUGUGUGUGUGUGUGUGUGUAGGAUCCAUAGAUUUAAAUCGGUGACACUCAAGGUCCAAAAUAUAAAAUUUUGUGUGUGUGUGUGUAUAUGUGUGUGUAUGUGUGUGUGUGAUCUCCCUCCAGCAGGGGGAAGUAGAGUUGUAGGGUUUUGGGGAUGAGUAGGGACCCUCUGCAGGGCACAGACUCGCUCUUGGCCCAUGCUGGUGGAAAUCGCGCUUUGUCCACUCAUGGUCAACAGUACUUCGGCUGAGAGAAAUAUCAAAAAGAGAAGCAAGGGUUAGUCCAGUGUUCAACUCCAGUAAAUUAAUGACUUCAUGAUUUAUCGAAAUACAGCUGUACAUGAAAAUGCUACACCCUUAGGCUAAAAGAAGACAUAUAUUUGACAUAAACAGGCCACUGGGUGUGUUCGAUUUCACAGACUCCUUCAUUAGCGAUCUAAAAGCAACAAAAAUGUGCAGACUUUUUAACAGGACGAUCGGUGUCAAUUGUUAUUAUUUUGUUUAAAGAUCUUUGCUAUUUAGUACUGCUCUUCAGAAGCUACAUGAAGAUACUUACAUGUUUCCAAGGAGACAAAAUCAUCCAUUUUCCCCAUUUUAGAAUAACAAUGAAGACGUUAACAGUAUGAAAUAACACGUAUGGAAUUGCGCAGCGACCGGAAAAACUGCCAAACCCUUUCUAACCGAAAUUAUAUUCAAAUUCGUUACAGUAAUCCUGAUGAAGCUUUGAACACUCUCGGCAUCUUCUUGACCGACUUCACCAAGGAGGCUUUUCUCGACGUUCCCCAAAGCAGAGCAGAGCUUCUCACUGCUUCUCCUAAACGACUACGCUCUAAACUCCCUGUUUUGAGUAAAAACGACUUAUUAAACAAAAGAUUUUGAUUCUGAACGGAAUUUAUACGUGGACAUUUUGUAACAUUUGUCUCAGAAACAAAAUUGAACCCUGUAAGCCUUUAUCGAAACAUCCCUGGCUGUAAGGUUUUUAACGCGUGUUCACAUCGAGUUUUCUUCAUAACAUACGUCGUCGAUUUUCUCGAUACGAGCCUGUUUUCAUAAAUUACACGAGAGUGGGAUUAGAUAAUUGACUCGUUAAUAUGUUCUCCAAGCUGCCAUUAAGGUCAGCGAUGCACUACAGAGAUGAGGGCACACACAUCAUGCAGGUGAACGGCGAACUUUAAAAGCACUUUCGGCACAAUCUCGAACACCCGCAGUUAAUUACGCGGUGGAGUGCCAAACUUUAGAAGGCCACCAAGAGAUAAUAAAUAGAGGAGGUCAUAACUCCUUGAAAGUACUAAUGGCAAAAAGCUAAAUUAUUAAGAGCAGCUAGUUACAGUAAACACUGCCUGGGAAUAAAUCAGAAAUCAGCAGACACUGAAAACCAAGUGCACACGGCGGCCUGGUUAAAUAUUCAUACAGCUUUAUGAGGCUUAAGAGCUGCAGUCGGGGAAAAAAAAACAUUGAAAAAAAACUUCACCGUUAGACGGAAGCUAUGGUAUGGUGCUAACUGUGGCAUCGUACACUGCCGAUAUUAGAUGAAACUGUUAUGAUUACGCACAAGAUUACACCUGAUGGAGCAGGCUGUUAUCAGAAAACAGUCAUCAGUUGGGUUGUGUGAUGUUCCUGAAGGUGAAUACGUUCCUAUACCGGCAUGUCUGGAAGCGUUUUGUUGCUCUUAAAAUCGCAUCAAAUUGAAUUUAAUCACAUUUAACAGAACGCUUGUGAAUCCCAUCAUCACUCACGCUUUAGAAGCUAUAAACAGCGGUUCCCUUUUUUCCUUUCUCGUAAAAAUGAAACAGAAAAUGCAACAAAGACUUGCAAAAAUGCGAGACGUCUACACAGCCCUGUUAAAAUGGCGGGUUUUUCUGAUUAAAAAAAAAAAAAAAAAAAAGAGGGAGAGACGAAAAAAAAAAACAAAAAAAACUUUUCCGCAUCCGACGGUGAAAUUACAAUGUUUAAAAAUGUAAUGAAAGACAAUCCGAAACGUUUUUCAGUACGUGGUUUGGGACGCAGCCCACGGCUUCAAACGGUCGUCUAUUUACACGUACAGCGUGACGAAUAAUUAACCGCACUUAAAGUUUUCCUGAAAUUAAAAAUGAAACACCCGAAACUGAAUACGGGACCAUAACGAAGACCGACUACAUGUCGAUACGUCAAAUUCCGGAGGGAACGUAUGGGUCUGGAGGGGAUGUAAUGACGUGUGCUGUUAAUCCAUCUGUGUUCUAUAACACGUAAAACAGAAACGUGAACGGAAUAUUGUAAAAGCAGCUCAUAUAAACACCUCAAUCAGAAUAUUGUCUUAUUCAGAAUAAGGUCAGUAAUUAGAUUACUGCUGUCCGUGUAAACACCUUAAUCAGAAUAUUGUCUUAUUCAGAAUAAGGUCAGUAAUUAGAUUACUGCUGUCCGUGUAAACACCUUAAUCAGAAUAUUAUCUUAUUGAGAAUAAGGUCAAAAAUUUGAUUACCGUUGUCCAUGUAAACAGAGCCACUGAUUUUUUUUCUUCACGCAGAAAAAAAAAAUCUUUUUUUUUGCGGGAUACAACUCACAAUCUGGAGUGACCCAUAACCGCUCACAUUCCAUGAUACGAAGAGGGUGUGUGUGUGUGUUUCAGAGAGAUUUUAUGCUUAUACGGCCAUUGUUUAUGAUCAAAACUCAAACUGCAGUAAAAAAUAAAUAAAUAAAUAAAUAAAUAAAUAAAUAACUCUCCGUUCCAUCACCAUGUCAGAUUGCAGUCCGACAGACUAAUUAGAGUCAAUAAUUUAUGAGCUCAUCUUACAGAAACCGGGACACUUAGCAUCUCAACGUAAGACAUUCUAACCUGUAAUGGCUUGCGUAAACAAAGGCGAUUAGUAAAUCUCAAACAGAGGCCUUUUACCAAACUCCGGUGUGUAACAGCAUGCUUCGUUCAUUAAUGACGAGAAGUUUCAGAGCAGCUCUCUGGAGACGGACACUGAGCUCAUACGGCUCACCUCUGUGUUACGCUGAAAAGUCAGUAUAUGACCGAUAAUAUACGAAGAGCAUCAUUAUCAGGGGUCAAGGUAUUACUGUGGGUAUGAUCCAUAACGCAUUGCGAGCAUACAGCCGGUUUAACACAGAAAAACCGCUGCACAUAGCAAGUCUAGAAAUGUAAUAAAUAUAACAUCGAGUUGCGUGUAAUGAGAAAUUGUAACUAGCUAAUAAUAUUAAGUCAUGUGUUCAGCCUCACCGUGCGCUUUUACGGUGCUUUCACAUCUAUCGGUACGUGUGCCGAGCCUGAGUCACAGCGACAUUUAUUGUUUUUUUCGGCUUCCUCACACUGCGCAUUAUUACACGGACCAAAGAAAGAACGAAAAACAAAAUCAAGCACUAAUCGACCGCUUCUGUUCACUGGUGGAAUGGAAAAAGCAAAGCUGUCGUUCAAUAAAUUACUAGAUAAUCAUGUAAAUAAAGGGGGUGAAACGUUAUGUGUGUUGCAUGAUUCAGCUUUUGCUUUCUAUUUGACUCAAAUAUCUAGAACACAUCCCGUUUCUAGGAUACCCGUACACGGCAUGUCCGGUUCAUUUCCCGCAGACUGCUUUUCUUUGAAGAAAUCUGUCCAUAUUGUUUUGCACUACACACGCGUCAUCACACGCUAACUCUUCGGAUAAAACACACGCAUACGUUAUGCAUACUGAUGUUGACGUGCUGCUGACAGGUCAGCGAGGGGGGUCGAGGGGGAGGGAAUUAUUAUUAUUUAUAUAUAUAUAUAUAUAUAUAUUAUGUGUGUGUGUUUCUGUCUUAAUAUUUCUGUGUCUGUGUUAUUAUUCGAUUAAAUUCAAUUCAAUUUGACUUGUAGAGCGCUUUUAACAAUGGAAAUUGUCUCAAAGCAGCUUUACAGAAAUAUAUAAACACAGGAUAUGGAUUUUAAGUGUGUGAAUUUAUCCCUAUUGGGCGAGACGGUGGUGACGGUGGCGAGGGAAAAACUCCCUGAGAUGAUACGAGGAAGAAACCUCGAGAGGAACCGGACUCAGAAGGGAACCCGUCCUCAUCUGGGUCACGACGGAUAGUGUGAAAGUGAAGGAAAGUUCAUUAUGGUUUUUAUAUGAAGUCUUUGUUAAACUAGUCCACUGUUGUAUACACAUUUGGGUUCAGGCCCCAGCACUGCCAGGCUUUGGGUGACUGAUCAGAAGGUCGGGGGUUCAGGCCCCAGCACUGCCAAGCUGCCACUGCCAUUGAGCAAGGCCCUUAACCCUCUCUGCUCCAGG